This is a non-coding RNA of Rhizoctonia solani, 71 nucleotides long. The record is from Rfam. NCBI's taxonomy places the organism in Eukaryota, Fungi, Basidiomycota, Agaricomycetes, Cantharellales, Ceratobasidiaceae.
AAGAGCGUCGUAUAACGGUAGUAUUAUGAUCUCCAAAAUCACAGGUAGGUGUUCGAUUCGCCUCGCUCUUG